This is a long non-coding RNA of Plectropomus leopardus (leopard coralgrouper), 373 nucleotides long. RefSeq lists it as uncharacterized. The record is from RefSeq and is a predicted model, not a curated record. Lineage: Eukaryota; Metazoa; Chordata; Actinopteri; Perciformes; Serranidae.
GUGCGAGUCCCUCAUCUCAGCUUUGGUUGCUGUGCAGAUGGCUCUUUGUUGGUGCUUCACAAUGGGUCUAAGGACCUGCCUGAAAGCCAGAGAAGGCCACAUGGACCAUGCAGGACACUGCUGUUCAAAACAAAAGAGCUCAGUUUGCCUCCACCAGUUCUUCCAAUUAUCGGGACCCCUCCCCCGCCUAAUCCCGACCUCUGCUCUUUGAUGGGCCCCACUUAGCUUUCAGCGCUGACAUUCCUCAGGUCGGGUCAGGCCUUUGUCCUGAGGAAAUUAAGCCUACAUGCUGCAGCAGUUUGAUUCAUUUCUUUACCUGCUGGAUGAAACAGGCGGCCCAUACAUGACUUUUUUUCCUCUUUGUAACAAAUCG